UAUAUUCAGGCUAUUGUUCUCGUGGAUUUUCUUGUUUAUAUAUAUGAAGCUUAUUGCAACAGAACUCCCCAAUUAACGGUUUCAUUUAUCUGGAAAAGGGUAAAAUUAUUACUUUAAGUUCAUCAACCAAGUCUAAUCAAUGUCACAUCUUGGGGAUUACAGAGGAGGGGUUAAUUGGACAAGUUCAACCAAUUCAAUAUAUGAAGAUCUUGAACCUUCCUCUGGAUGGAUAGAGGAUACCAACAACCAUUAUCUUCUUAUUGAUCUUCCUGAAGGAUUCAAAAGGGAGGAGGUGAAGCUUCAAGUUGAUAUAUUUGGCAAUAUAACGGUAAGUGGAGAAAGGAAAGUAAGCGAAUAUAAAUAUAUCCGCUUUAAAAUAUCAACUAAAGCACCUGAAAAAUCAAAAUGUGAGGAUACAAGCGCAAGGCUUGAAGAUGGAAUUCUGUAUGUUAUCAUCCCAAAGGAAUUACCAGAAAACAAAGAAGGCGAUGACGUAGCAACUGAUAGCAAUUCUCAUGAAGAGAAUCAACAGAAAAAACCAGAGGAGGAAGAAGGUCCAAUUAGUGAUGAUAAAGAACAAAGUCAAAAUGCAAAAGAAGAAAAGAGCGAAGCAAGCGAGGAAGAAGAAUUUCAUGAUGCAAAAAUGGCAAAGAAGUGGCACGGAAAUAAUCUAUUGGUAGCAGCAGCAAAAGAAACAAUGAGAAAGAACAAGAUGAUUAUUAUAACAGCUUUGAUUGCAUUUUCUUUAGGUGUUUUAGUUUCUCAUAAAUGUCAGUCAAGCAAAAUUGAUUGACUAAUAUCUCUACCAAAAUAAUGUUAUAUGUGAUAAAGAAUUCUGUACUCAACAUAUUCAACGUGCAAUAAACAUCAAAGCGAACCCACAAAAUAGUACCAGUUACGUUAGAUUUGCAAAAUGCUUUCAAACAAUUACAGUUUGACAAUACCAAUCAAA
This is an RNA transcript of Nicotiana attenuata, 952 nucleotides long. It is a transcript of the gene named inactive protein RESTRICTED TEV MOVEMENT 2-like, with no coding region annotated. The transcript has 3 exons. NCBI's taxonomy places the organism in Eukaryota, Viridiplantae, Streptophyta, Magnoliopsida, Solanales, Solanaceae. The record is from RefSeq and is a predicted model, not a curated record.